UACGGGGGGAGCAAGCGUUGUUCGGAUUUACUGGGCGUAAAGGGCGCGUAGGCGGCGUGGCAAGUCACUUGUGAAAUCUCCGGGCUUAACUCGGAACGGUCAAGUGAUACUGUCGUGCUAGAGUACAGAAGGGGCAACUGGAAUUCUCGGUGUAGCGGUGAAAUGCGUAGAUAUCGAGAGGAACACCUGCGGCGAAGGCGGGUUGCUGGGCUGAUACUGACGCUGAGGCGCGAAAGCCAGGGGAGCGAACGGG
Molecule: ribosomal RNA, 253 nt
Filed under: uncultured bacterium
Lineage: Bacteria
Description: partial 16S ribosomal RNA
Rfam family: Bacterial small subunit ribosomal RNA
Source: RNAcentral